RNAcentral lists this unclassified non-coding RNA (279 nucleotides) under Hevea brasiliensis (rubber tree). The record is from RNAcentral. Lineage: Eukaryota; Viridiplantae; Streptophyta; Magnoliopsida; Malpighiales; Euphorbiaceae.
GUUUAUUUCUACAAGAGCAUCAAAAGUUGAUCGAUUUUUGUUUUAUAAAAAGAAAAGAAAUCACUCGUUCUCAUAGCUUAUAUGUAUUAAUUUAUUAUAUAUUUUUUUAAAUUCUAUGUUGGAUUUGUUUUAGUGGGGAACAUUAAGCUAUUUGUUUAAUCAAUUAAAGUGUUGCCAACUGUAUCAUUUUUUAAUUGUUUUUCAGAAUAUUUUUAUUCUCAGGCCAGCAUAGGACUCUGACUGAGAUCUGUUGGAUUUCGUUUCUGUAGCUCUUAAAUA